AAGACUAUACUUUCAGGGAUCAUUUCUAUAGUUCGUUAAAUUUCCUGGAUGUGGUACACUAUUUAUCUCUUCUUCUGUGCUUCA
RNAcentral lists this small nucleolar RNA (84 nucleotides) under Pteropus vampyrus (large flying fox). RNAcentral describes it as "Small nucleolar RNA U3 (ENSPVAG00000028507.1)". Lineage: Eukaryota; Metazoa; Chordata; Mammalia; Chiroptera; Pteropodidae. The record is from RNAcentral.